AUGUUAGCAAGUCUGUUUCAUAUUUUAGUCAAAUAUACCUUUGUCGCACUGCCUGAAUGGAUUCAGAUGACAGUGACAAACUCAGUUCUGUUCUAUUUAACAUGCACCCGCUGCAAUCAAAUUAACAAUGUACAAAUCUUCAUCGGGCUUCUCCAGAUUUACUGUCAGAAGAGUCUGUUGAGCGCCUCAGCAUUGCGGGCGAGUGAGCUGGCUGCAAGUUGUCUGGGCUCCAGGACUGCGACCCCUUUCUGUGUCAGUUGGGAGCCAGAGGAAGGAGGCAUCCCCAGAGGAGCAAGGCACCAAGUGGAUAAAUUUACCCUGUUGGGAAGAUGCUGGCAGCAGUGGAUUUUCAGCAGGGAUUCAUGUACCCUGAAGAAGCAAACUGAACCCUCCCAGUUGAACAGCUCAGCAGUUUACCCCCCACAGCACGAGUGGGGAAGAGAGGAACUGUCGCUCCGAGGAGCGUGCGAAGGCAGACGGUACACCUCAGCUCUGCGUAUCUCCCUUCCCCGCACCCUCCCUCUGAAGAGCGCUUAAGCAGGAAGCAGUGGUGGAGUUAGUAGGGGCUGACAUCUUGCAGCACUAUGACUGCUCCCCUUUGCACCUUUUCUGGAGUCAGUGCAAGACUAUGUGACCAUGUCCAGGACUGGAUGAAAUGGAGGACUGGGCAUUUCUCCAGCAGCGAUGUGCAGGUUAUACAUGGCAGGUGUGUUGAUUGCUGGCCCAUAGCAGAGGCAGAGGGGGGAUGCACCUGGGAGUGAAUAUGCCCCAGCUGUGCUGAUGGUGACUGCUCUUACACAGCGAGAGCAGCUUCAGGUUGCAGGUGAAGGUUGAGGAGUUAGGUGAAGGUAUGGGGCUAGUCAGGGAUAUGUACAUACCUAUGAGACAGCAUCCUGAGACCUGAAUUGUCUUGCUGUGGCUUGGCUAAACUAACAUGGGUUUGAAACAGUGAAGGAAAAGCAUAUGAAAAGUGCAUCUGGCCUAUUUUAACUUUCUUCUUUUGGCAGCCCUUUGUUGGCUACUUUUCCUGCUAGAUUUUCUCCCAGUCCCAUAAAUAAGCCAGUCAUAAGUUUAGAUUUGAUCCAUUCAUUCAUCUUACAACAUAUGAGUUCCUUCCACACAUGAUCAAUAGCUGGAGCUGGCCUGCUAUUCCACCUCUUCAUCCCUUCUGGAGCACAACCUUUGCAAGAGAUGUAAGGUGGGGUGGAGUCUGCUUUUUCAGGGAAGUGAUUUGUUUUUGCUUUACGAAGGAGAAAGGAGAAGAAUGAGCAGAGAAUCAGUAUUAUCACCCCCUCUCCUCCCUACACCACCUGCUGAUGGUGAGCUUUAAGCCUUGUUACAAACUGCAUUUGAAUUCAGCCCAAGCUAACUUCAGAAGCUGGAGUUCCUUGGUCAGUGUGAUUCUGCUCCUUUCAUACCUUCUCCAGAAGACGCACAUAUCUCAGAUAGUGAUUCUGCAUCCACAAGGGCUGAACUGGGCAUUUCUCCAGAGGUAAGGCCAAGCUGCACACUGAGUACUUAAGGAAAUAAUGUUUGCCUUAUGUUUCUUAUUCACAGCCUUUCCUAAAUCAUUGUAAGGGGGGUGGGGGAGUGUAAGGAGCUAGGUUUGUAUGUAACCUGAAUGUCAAGAAGUGCUUUUUGCCUUCUCUAGAGAUCAGCUCUGCGGAGCCCUACAGGGUGUGAUCUUGUAUUUGGUAAUGUGAGAGCAAGGAGCAGAAGCACAAGCAACCAGCACAGUAAUAGAAUUACAUCAGGGUAUUUGGAUUGUGUUGUAGUCCCACGCCCAAGUAAGGUGCAAAAAUAAAUGAGCACACAUUCACA
RNAcentral lists this long non-coding RNA (1821 nucleotides) under Struthio camelus australis. Its description in RNAcentral is "lncRNA (ENSSCUG00000005860.1)". The record is from RNAcentral. Lineage: Eukaryota; Metazoa; Chordata; Aves; Struthioniformes; Struthionidae.